GUUGCAGCUGAUAUUUCAUAGGGUUUUAUGAUUUGUUUUCGUUAGAAAAAAUAUUGAUAUGCUCCACAAAAAUAAACUUUUGCUUUAAAAAUAUUUAUUUAACUUUAUUCGUUUUUUAAUAAACAAAGAUAUUAUCUCUUUGAAUUGUUGAAACAAAAAUAAAUAUCUGAUGUUUAGUUUUUAAAAAACCAGCUUACCGCAAAGGCCGAAAUGGAUAUUUGAACUCAUGAAAGAAUGCAGUACUUCGCAGAUUUGGUCGCCUUUUCAUCGGGUCAAGCUCCGGCGGCGAUUUUGUGAAAAUGGUCGUUUCAAUGUAAUCACCCCAUACUCGCCCUGAUGUCUGGAAAGUCGCCUUUCCUAGAUGGCGCUAUUCGAAUAUAUUUUAGGAAUUUCCCACGAAUCACCUGACUUGUUUUUGAAUUUAUUUAGCAACGCAUACCGUCAUUUCAAGAAUUUUGAUUCUUCCAAUAGCAUUUUACCAAAACAUUCUUCAAUUUCUGAUCAAGAUUUUUAAGGGAGAUGCAUGCAAUCAAUUAAUAAAUAAGAGAAUCAGCUGUAAAGAAAUCCAAUAUUUACUUGCUUUCAUUGCUUUACUAAUUAAAUAUAUUAAAAAAAAUAAUUUAAUAAUAUCAGUAAUUCUACUUGAUCGAUUAAAACUAUAAAAGUAC
Argiope bruennichi is the source of this 668-nucleotide long non-coding RNA. RefSeq lists it as uncharacterized. Lineage: Eukaryota; Metazoa; Arthropoda; Arachnida; Araneae; Araneidae. The transcript is spliced from 3 exons. The record is from RefSeq and is a predicted model, not a curated record.